GCCUGCGUCGGGUCAGGUAGCGGUUGAAGUGGAAUUCUUUCUCCAGCUCGAGAGCCUGCUGGCGGGUGUAGGCAGUGCGAGACCUCUUGGGCACUCCUCCAUUAUCUGGCCUCCAGAACGCAUGUAGCCAAGACCACCUGAGAGCCUAUCUAUCAAGAUAAUAUCCAAGGAAGGCCCCCAACAGAGCUCCUUGCAUAUUCAACACACCUUUAGAGGAAAAUGGAAGCUGGCUGCGGAUGACACUGAACUUGGCCUAAAGCGAGCUCUGCUGGUGGCUCCGGGAGGAUGCAGAUUUAUCUUUCUGCUAUGGCUGACCUCGCGGUGAACCGCGCGCUGGGGACGGUUCUUUUUUUCUGCCUGGCAUUGUCUGCCUUGCUGUGCAACGCAUAAGGGACCCCGAUUUGGACAUUUUAAUUGUGUAACAAUGGUGUAAAUUUCUCCCCAGACGUCACAAUGAUAAUGGCAUAGAAUAAUGGUUUUACUUAUAUUUUCUACACCACAAACUGUAAUGGAAAUAAAGUUACAUUUCGUUGCAUUGGC
Long non-coding RNA from Oncorhynchus nerka (sockeye salmon), 540 nucleotides. RefSeq lists it as uncharacterized. The transcript is spliced from 4 exons. The record is from RefSeq and is a predicted model, not a curated record. NCBI's taxonomy places the organism in Eukaryota, Metazoa, Chordata, Actinopteri, Salmoniformes, Salmonidae.